Molecule: ribosomal RNA, 1809 nt
Filed under: Acanthaster planci (crown-of-thorns starfish)
Lineage: Eukaryota; Metazoa; Echinodermata; Asteroidea; Valvatida; Acanthasteridae
Description: SSU rRNA
Rfam family: Eukaryotic small subunit ribosomal RNA
Source: RNAcentral
UUGCCAUAUGCUUGUCUGAAAGACUAAGCCAUGCAUGUGUAAGUAUAUCUUGAAAAAGUGAAACCGCGAAUGGCUCAUUAAAUCAGUUACUAUCUAAAGGCUGAGUGACAUUCUACAAGAAUAGCUGCGCUAACCGCGCUGUUAAUGCUUGCAGAUUGCUUGGGAGACUGAGAACUUUUACGAGAUAUCCACCGGGGAGCUCUGAAACACCGAGACCCAGGCGAUGAUGAAUCCGUAGUCUUAAACUGAAAGAUCACAAAGGCCGUGAAGGCUGGUGACGUAGUCUCCGAAUUUCUGAGCUAUCAACCUAUGACGGUAGUGUAACGGACUACCGUGGUUGUGACGGCUAACGGGGAAUCAGGGUUCGAUUCCGGAGAAGGAGCCUGAGAAACGGCUACUACAUCCAAGGAAGGCAGCAGGCACGCAAAUUACCCAAUCCCGGAACGGGGAGGUAGUGACGAGAAAUAAUCAUUUAAGCCUUAAUGGUUUAUAAUGAGAAUGGAAUGGAUGCAAAAGCUCCAUUGAUGACCGAGUAGAGGGCAAGUCUGGUGCCAGCAGCCGCGGUAAUACCAGCCUCUACAAGCGUAUGCAUGAGUUGCUGCGUUUAAAAAGCUCAUAGUUGGAUCUGUUUGGGUAUUUGGAUACAUCCGCUAUACACAUUGCGCGUAUAGAGGCCUCACGCCCAUCCUUCGCAUCGAUGAUAUUAGUUGCACUUUGUUGUGACGACUAGUGGAAACGGUGUUUUCACUUUGAGUAAAUUAGAGUGUUCAAAGCAACCUUUGGGAUUGCAUAAUAAAGCAUGGAAUAAUGGAGAAUGACCUGAGUCAACGUUUUGAAGCCGGUGGCUGUUGCUCGGUGAUGAUUGAAAGGAACAGGCGGGGGCAUUUGUAUUGCUACGUUAGAGGUGAAAUUCUUGGAUCGUGGCAAGACAAACUACUGCGAAAGCAUUUGCCAAGAAUGUUUUCAUUAAUCAAGAACGAAAGUUAGAGUAUUAAAGAGGAUUAGAUACCCUCGUAAUUCUAACCAUAAACUUUACCAACUUACGAUUUGUCCCUGUCCCUCUCGACUGGGCAAGAAUUUAACCGGGAAACCAAAGUUUAUUGGUUCCGGGGGAAGUAUGGUUGCAAAAUCGAAACUUAAAGGAAUUGACGGAAGGGCACCACCAGGAGUGGAGCCUGCGGCUUAAUUUGACUCAACACGGGGAAACUCACCAGGUCCAGACAUCUUAAGGAUUGACAGAUAGUAUACCUCUCAUAAUCAGAUGGGCGGUGGUGCAUGGCCGUUCUUAGUUAGUGGAGUGAUCUGUCUGGUUAAUUCCGAUAACGAACGAGAUCUUGGCCAAUUAAAUAGAAAGCAGUACCGAGGUAUUGCAAAAGCUUCUUAGAGGCACUGUUCCGAAUUUAAAUACGGAAAGCGAAGUGAGGCUAUAACAGGUCUGUGAUGCCCUUAGAUGUUCUGGACUGCACGCGCGCUACACUGUACUCUACAGAGUGUGAAAAACCUAAUCUAGAGAGGAUUGGGAAAUCACAGAACGGAGAAAUUUUGAGGGGAUCGUGCAUUGUAACUUUUGCACGUGAACCCGGAAUUCCUCGUAAAUGGAAGUCAACAACUUCUAUUGAUUACGUCCCUGCCCUUUGUACACACCGCCCGUCGCUACUACUGAUUGGAUGGCAGAGUAAGAGGCUCUGAAAAUCCCUGCUUGAUUAUUGCUAUUGUGAUAAUUGGUUUGAUGGACCGUCGAGUCCCAAGCCCCUCUGUCUAGAGGAAGUAAAAGUCGUAACAAGGUUUCCGUAGGGGAACCUGCGGAAG